AGAGUUUGAUCCUGGCUCAGGACGAACGCUGGCGGCGUGCCUAAUACAUGCAAGUCGAGCGGACCCUUCGGGGUUAGCGGGGGACGGGUGAGUAACACGUAGGCAACCUGCCUGUAAGACUGGGAUAACUACCGGAAACGGUAGCUAAGACCGGAUAGCUGGUUUCUUCGCAUGGAGGAAUCAUGAAACACGGCGCAAGCUGUGACUUACGGAUGGGCCUGCGGCGCAUUAGCUAGUUGGUGGGGUAACGGCUCACCAAGGCGACGAUGCGUAGCCGACCUGAGAGGGUGAUCGGCCACACUGGGACUGAGACACGGCCCAGACUCCUACGAGAGGCAGCAGUAGGGAAUCUUCCGCAAUGGACGCAAGUCUGACGGAGCAACGCCGCGUGAGUGAUGAAGGUUUUCGGAUCGUAAAGCUCUGUUGCCAGGGAAGAACGCCCGAGGGAGUAACUGCCCUGGGGUGACGGUACCUGAGAAGAAGCCCGU
RNAcentral lists this ribosomal RNA (488 nucleotides) under uncultured soil bacterium. Its description in RNAcentral is "bacterial SSU rRNA". It matches the Rfam family "Bacterial small subunit ribosomal RNA", at positions 8 to 495 of the family's 1533-position model. The record is from RNAcentral.